AGGAGUGCACUAUUAACGCUGGUCCGCGCUAAUGGGUCAUCCUUGUUUUGUAUUUAAUGAGGAACGAAGAUAAGACGUCGCGUUAGUACUGAUAACGUGUUCUCCGAACGCAGUCUUAUUAUUGUGUUGGAAGGUAAUUUUUCGAAAAAUCUGUGAAGUUCUUUUGUGACUUAGAACGUAAGUAUCAAUUGGAGGUGAUUCUUGGAAAGAAGCACGUAAAUAAGAAGGAAGUUUUGAAGGGGAAAUAGGUUUGAAUAGAUUUAAUUAGGUUCAACAUUUUAUUUUCCACUAUACAGAGUGCUUGGCUCUUUAAGUAGAAUCCUGCAAAUCAGCUCUUAAUUACCCGAUUCAAUUAUUAUCGCCUGAUCCAGUUGUACAAAUUAUAACGCCGACAAAUAUGCUUCGAUCCUUCUUCACAUCAGGGAUAGUUACGAGGAGCGAGAUGCAUAAGCAAAAGCAGAAUUUCAUAUUCAUAGUAUAAAUGUGGUUGGCGAGAAGAAUUGGUCGCAAAUCUUAUGCAAAUUACAUUACGUGCUCGCUUGGCACUGGUUCAACUGAGCAACUGUAAUGCUGAUAAGCCGAUGUCAAACAGCGUGUCAUGGCCGUAUGCACAGGCGUUUCAGCGUAUCCUUUCUCCUUGGCUAUUGCCAGUUGGAAAACGGCGGCGCCGCGUGUCGCUUCAAAAGUUCCGCGGUCUGAGGCGCGAUGGGAAAAUCUAUGGGUGAAAACGCGUGAAGCUGCGAGCUCGUGCAAUCGUCGCGCAAAUCACCGAGAUCGUCGUACCGUAAGCCGGCCUCUUGUGAAACGACGGUAGUAAUAUUUCCCGGUGUUCGUUCCGGGAAGAAUUAACGCCGGCCGAAGAAACUCCAUCGUUCCCGUUCUAGAGUUACCGUGAGUCGCGCUUAUGUGGUUUUCUUCGUUAUAAGUUUAACGUUAUUUGUCGAGACAGAGAGAGAGAGAGAGAAAUGCGGAUUUGCCGGGUUACUCGUAGCUUGAAUAAGUUGCUUGUUGCUUGAGGGAAGAGUGAAAUUAAAAGGAACUCGAUCUUCACGCGAAUUCUCGACGCGAAGGAUAAAGUAGAAAACAAUCGAAUUCUCCUCUUUCUUCUAUUAUUGUUUUUUUUUUAUUUUAGGUCGAAAAUAGAGAACUUUCUUCAGUUCCGUUAGGUUGUUGCAGAGUUAUUAGAGCGUGAGAGAAGAGUCUCAUUCUUUCUUUCGAGUCUUAACUUGAGCGAUGCAAAUACUUUUCAAAUGUAAGCUAGGCAGAAUAGAGAUAUAAAUAGUCGGAAAAACGAGGGCGAUUCGUCUCAGGUCUCGCGAACAGGUGAAACGGUCGACUGUCAACUAAUUCCGCCACGCACGAAGGAAUAUUCAUAGCACCGGGAAUCUACAUCGAACUAUACUUGUUGAAUGAGGAACGUGCGGGCUUUUUCGGACGAAUAAACGUUCCGAUAUCUCUAUUCGCGGGCCGCCGUUCUCGGUAUCUCGUGUUCCAUCUGUCAUAAAAAUGCGAGAGCCGCAUAUGUGGAUUAACGGAAUCGCGAACGGAAACGAAGCGAGCCGAGAUUUUACGCGUAUCUGGCAUGUAAUGAAAACGGAAUAUUCGCUCACAAUAAUGUGAAUCGCGAGAAGCCUCCGUAUAAAUAAGCGAUAAAUUCGUAACGAACGUUUAAUUUUGUCGUCGAGGAUUCUCUUUCGUUGAAUUUACGCUCCUGCUAGCACAUCCUGUGUCUGCCGCGCGAAUUCACGAAUCGGUCAUGAAACCGAUGUUACGAAACCACUGGCAAUUUGUAUAAUUACCGCAACGGUCGCGUAGUCGCGUGUUACCUCGCAAAAGUACUAUUGUCCGCGAUUGAGGUAACGUGGCAGUAUGUUGUAACGGUUAGUCCGUGUUAGCGACGUUUGUCCGUAAUACAAUAUCGUAGUAUAAACAUUAUCGAAUUAUUACGCAGGCCCGCGUGACCUACGAGUUUCGUUGCGCUAUUUAAGAAUCCGACGUUUCAACGUUUUAUCGGCCCGUUCCCUCCCGUUUGACUGUCAUACGUGUUGUUUUUCGAUUAAUUCACCUACACAGCCUCUCUUUUUUUUUCAUUUCGAAGACUGUGAACGCUACUCCGUUGACCAUGAUGCAGAUUAUUCGUACUUUCACUAAAUCGCCUUAGUUGCCACGUAAUACGUUGAGAUGUCCGUACAACUGUACGUCUGAAUGUUGGGUAUGGUUCAGCAGACGCUGCGAUUCGUCACGAUCCGUUAAUUACAGCGCGUUUUGUAAAUUUGCACAGAGAGAGAAAGGGUAAGAUGACGGUAUGUACAUAAGGACUAUAUUUUGUGCAACUAUAAUAUAAUGCGAAAUUGGUGACUUCGAUGCGUGUUCGCGGACGUGGAGGAUCGAUUCGCGGAGCGACUGAUUAACAUCCGGCAAAAUCCAUCAAGACGUUAAUGUACCUACACACAUGCGUCAUUCAGUAUGCUGGUAUGAUAUUCUGCUUUGUCUUUGUCCUAGUUUCAAUAGAAGCUAAUCCAGCUUACAGGCGAGGAUAUAACGUGUUUACGUAGGAUGUGUAAUAAUAGAUAAAACAGUCUGCUCGAGAUCGCGAAAUCUGAACGAAAAUUGGAAGGCGUUAUUUAAAUUUCAUGUAAAUUUAUUAUCACACAGUGUGGAACACAAAUACUUUAUGCAGCUUCAGUCGAUAUUUAUUCCGUCGCUGUCUUCGUACUUUUGCAAUUAUUCAUCGCGUUGUAUAAAUUAUUCCAAACUGGUUUCUAUAAAUGUAGCCUUAAAGAUAAUUAUGCGACGUUGCAAUUAGAGUAUCAUCGCUGGAUUUACUUGCUUAGGUUUAUUUACACUCAAGAUCAUGUGAUCGACUAAUCGACCGAUUCGCCAGGAUAAAUUAAUUAAUACUGUAACUGCUAUUUUUUUUUUUUACUGGCAACUGUACGUAAUGUAAUACUUUUUUCUACACUAAAUUACGUAUACGUCAGAUUAUAAUAUUCGGCAAACUUUCGAGAAAAACACGCGCGUGUGCUUUUCGCGUUCGUUUGUGAGUUAGCGUAAAAGUUGCGCGACUAUGAAAUCCUAGAACUCUAACGAUCAGUUUUGUAGAUUAUAACGUUACGGAGCGAAAAUGGAACAUAAUCACCAUAAGUUACAGAUAGUUGCUUAGCCAGGAACUUGCGUUAUCUGUUGUAAAAUGUACAUCCGGAUUUCUCGAGUGCAAUUGAAACAUAAUGAAUGCGUCCGCGUGUCUGGGAUUACGUCAAAUUUCCGGCGACGUUGACUCUAUUUCUGUUUCAUUCGACAAAUUAUUCUGUUCUUGCCGUACACGAUACGCGAGAUAAUUGCGCAAAAGAUGACAGGCUUGCGUCAAAGUAGUAGACGCCUUGUGAUGAAUUCGUCUUUGUUGAACGUCUAAGUCAAACUCUCUCUCUCUCUCUCUCUCUUUUUCUCUACAGCCACACCUGAUAAGAAAGAAAGAUUUCUUUGACUUCAAUAUCCUUACUUAUUUAAUUUGGAUUUAUUUGACUCAAACAACAUAAUUUUUUUUUAUCACAAAUAUUUUAUAUCACAAUUUUAUAUCACAAAUAUUUUAUUUCAUCAGAUUAAAUCACGUUUGGUAGAAAAAAACAAACAAACAAACAAAACACUAUUUGAACGUGAUUUAAACGAAAUAACUUUCAACCAAAUAAUACAUUAUUUGUCUAUUAAUUACGCGAAAUUGUGCUGGCUUUAUUCACGUCGUUUGCAUCAUCGGUGAUAGUAUGAUAGUUUACAUGACCGGUGAUACUGUUUCAUCGCGGCGUUAACGCUCAUCGUGUGAACAACGACGUUUCUCGUGAUGCGAGUGUACGCGAGGCUGCGGAAUAUCGGUCAAACGCCCGUUGAAUGUUAUCGAAAGUGAGAGCUUCCACGAGAAGGAUGGCGGUGAGACAUUAUGCGCAUCAGUAUACGGUGCGGCUAACGGAGAAGAAAAUCACCGACGGGAAUGUCAGUAGCGAGAGUAGCGACGUAGACGACUACUAUCCGUUGAUCCAUCAUAGCGUGAACGGCGCGACGCUUGACAGGAAUGCACGUAGGAGGAUAAUGGAAGCCGGCUGGAACGAGGUGGUAAGACGUUACGUCUGUACCUCCUUUACAACCCGAGUGAGGGAAACGUUUAAAUUAAGAAUCGAUUGACAUUCGAUCUCGCGCCACCUUUGACCGCGUCAAUAUGUAUAAAGUACCAAAAAAAGUGACGUCUCUCGUAUUAUUAUCGUAUUUACUCAACGAGCGUUGCAACUGAUCGCCACGAUUAUUCUACAAUAUUUGACAAUCGACGCGGAGAUAUCGAAUGUUAAUGCACUGGGUGCGGUUAGAGUGGAUAAAUUUAACUCGUGUUCCGCUAAUUAUAUGUCAUGUUUUUUUUAAUUUUUUUUGCAAUAUUAUAUCGACUCUUUUGCGUAAUAUCCUGUUACAUCGUAUGUAUAAUAAAGUUAUAAAAGAUCUUCCUAUUAUGUAA
This is a long non-coding RNA of Dinoponera quadriceps, 4495 nucleotides long. RefSeq lists it as uncharacterized. The transcript has 3 exons. Lineage: Eukaryota; Metazoa; Arthropoda; Insecta; Hymenoptera; Formicidae. The record is from RefSeq and is a predicted model, not a curated record.